Long non-coding RNA from Sapajus apella (tufted capuchin), 1927 nucleotides. RefSeq lists it as uncharacterized. The transcript is spliced from 2 exons. Lineage: Eukaryota; Metazoa; Chordata; Mammalia; Primates; Cebidae. The record is from RefSeq and is a predicted model, not a curated record.
AGAGGAGAUUAUAAGGUCAACAAAACAUGAAGGGAGGGGACAGGGCUAACGUGUGGUCCUGAGAAGGUCUAGGUCAGCCUCCAGCUCCCACCCACCUCCCCACAAAGAGAGAUCAUUUUGGGAGGCGGUAGCUGCUAGGCUGCCCUAGGCCUCAGGGAAGUCUGGUCUUUUGGUCAAAUGUUUGUGGAACAGAUUUGGAAAAACGGGGGUAGAGUGGUGGAACUGUAAAAACCCAUCAGGGAGAAGGAAGAGCCUGGGGUCUAGAGGUCAAAGGUCAUGCUGGCAGUGGAAGGGAAAUGGAAACUCCUGUGGGCUGGAGCAGAAAGUGGAGGAGGAGGAACGGCCUGGAGGAGCUGCAUGCUAUUCCAGACCUGAGAACUGGAAUGGACUGUCUCAUGGGUUCUCAAAGCAUGAUCUGCAGACCAGCAACGUAAGCAUUGCCUAGGAACUUCUUAUAAAUGCAAUUCUCAGAUCCCACCCCAGAUGGACAAAAUCAGAACUCUGCAACUGAGGUCCAGCAUUCUGUUUCUGGCGUUUUAAAUUUCAGUUUUAUUUUUUAGAGACAAGGUAUUGCUGUGUCGCUCAGGCUGUACUCAAACUCCCAGGCUCAAACAAUCCUUCACCUCAGCCUCCAAAGUAACUGGGCCUAUAGGCACAUUCCACCACACCCAGCCCCUAUUUUAAUUUGCCUCUCAGGGGAUGCUGAUGACUGCUACAGUUUGAGAACAACUUAGCAAAAUGCUGUGUCUCAGGAGACCCCACACAGCAAUUCAUGAAACCAACUGUUUACUGGCCUGACUGAGCUGCUGUAACAAAUUAUUAGAAACACAGUGGCGUAAAACAAUGCAGACUUAUUCUCUUUACAGCUUUGGAGGUCAGAAGUCCAAAAUCAGAAUGACUGGGCUAAAGUCCAUGUCUCAGCAAGGCUGGUUCCUUCUGGUGGCAGUGAGGGGAGACCCCAUCCCCUCGCCAUUUCUGGCUUCUAGAACCCAUCUUUAUUCCUUGGCUUGAGCCCCUUUCUCUGUCUUCAAAGGGCAGCCACUUCAAAUGUCUUGCCAGCACAUUUCCUUCUCCCCUAAUGCUCAUCCUACUGUCAGCCUUCUACAAAUGCCCUUGUGAUUACAGUGAUUAAAAUGAACCCUCUCGGAACAAUCUCUGUAUCUCAAGAUCCUUAACUUAAUCAAAUCAGCAAAAUCCCUUUGGCCACGAAAGGCAACCUAUUCAUAGGUUCUGGAGAUUAGGAAUGUAGACAUUUUUGGGGAGGCCAUUAUCCUGUUUCCUACAGAGAGGAAGAUGAGAAAUAUGCACUUUCAUUUGCUCGUAUUCACAUAAAUAAACAGUUUUCAUGCACAAGACACUAAUAAAUCUGAUUACCUGUGAAGGAUGGGAAGCAUGAGGCGAAGGAAUGGGAGCUAGGACUUCCUUCUCAAAGUUGACUUUUUAUAUUAUUUUGGGCUUUGGGCCAGGCAAAUAUAUUACCUUUUACACAAUGUUAACCACCAAAAAAUAAAGAGAAUGAGACCCCUUUUAGUAAUUUCUGGCUGUUGAACCAUUCUGUUUGAAUAUGACAUGUCAGAGAUCAAACCACUGGGACCUUUGGAGUCCUAGAGUUUACAAGUACUGAAAGCAAAAGCAUUUUAGUGGUGAUGUAGGUAGCAGGCGAAGAAACAGCAUCUUGCUUGGGCAUGAACAAGACAAGAUAGGCACUAAGUCAAAGAUGAGGGACUAAGCUUGACCUUCAAGGAAAGUUAAAGUUUUGGACUUGGUUCAUGUUUUUGAGUUAAAAAGUUCUGCAGAUCUUCCAAAUGCCCAACAAAGGAAGAGGGGUUGAGAUGCCCAUUCCUUUCUCCUUAAUUAAAAAAAAAUAACAAAGUAUUAUGUCCACUAAACCACCUUUGCAAAAAUUACAGUAGUAAGGGAAAUCUAA